RNAcentral lists this microRNA precursor (134 nucleotides) under Marmota monax (woodchuck). The record is from RNAcentral. Lineage: Eukaryota; Metazoa; Chordata; Mammalia; Rodentia; Sciuridae.
CCUAGUCCCACCCCUUUUUUCAGUUUAAAAAAAAAAAAAAUAUAUAUAUAUAUAUAUAUAUAUAUAUAUAUAUAUAUAUAUAUAUAUAUAUAUAUUUUUUUUUUUUUUAAACUGAAAAAAGGGGUGGGACUAGG